CGGCAAUGGACGAAAGUCUGACCGAGCAACGCCGCGUGAGUGAAGAAGGUUUUCGGAUCGUAAAGCUCUGUUGUAAGUCAAGAACGUGUGUGAGAGUGGAAAGUUCACACAGUGACGGUAGCUUACCAGAAAGGGACGGCUAACUACGUGCCAGCAGCCGCGGUAAUACGUAGGUCCCGAGCGUUGUCCGGAUUUAUUGGGCGUAAAGGGAGCGCAGGCGGUCAGGAAAGUCUGGAGUAAAAGGCUAUGGCUCAACCAUAGUGUGCUCUGGAAACUGUCUGACUUGAGUGCAGAAGGGGAGAGUGGAAUUCCAUGUGUAGCGGUGAAAUGCGUAGAUAUAUGGAGGAACACCAGUGGCGAAAGCGGCUCUCUGGUCUGUCACUGACGCUGAGGCUCGAAAGCGUGGGUAGCGAACAGGAUUAGAUACCCUGGUAGUCCACGCCGUAAACGAUGAGUGCUAGGUGUUAGGCCCUUUCCGGGGCUUAGUGCCGGAGCUAACGCAAUAAGCACUCCGCCUGGGGAGUACGACCGCAAGGUUGAAACUCAAAGGAAUUGACGGGGGCCCGCACAAGCGGUGGAGCAUGUGGUUUAAUUCGAAGCAACGCGAAGAACCUACCAGGUCUGACAUCCGAUGCUAUUC
RNAcentral lists this ribosomal RNA (640 nucleotides) under Streptococcus mutans. RNAcentral's name for it is "bacterial SSU rRNA". It matches the Rfam family "Bacterial small subunit ribosomal RNA", at positions 366 to 998 of the family's 1533-position model. Lineage: Bacteria; Bacillati; Bacillota; Bacilli; Lactobacillales; Streptococcaceae. The record is from RNAcentral.